AAUGAUUGUUUGUUUUGAAAAUUUCCAUCUUUAAUUUUAGAGUUUAAUUCGUUUUUGUGCUUCCAUGCAUUACUAUGAAAUUGAAAGGUGUUUAUAUCCACCGAAACAGUUCCUAUGAAAUGCGGAUUUGUUUUUUGAUUCAUCGAUGUUUUGUGUGUCAGUUUGCUAAUGCAUUCAAAUUUUUUAAUGAUGUGUAGAAAGCUAAGGGUAGCAAGUAUAUACUGUAUAAAUGUGAUGGAAGAAGAUGAAUGUGUGUAAUAUUUGUUGAGCUGGACUAUUUUAACUGGCAUGAAUUUGAUCAUGCUCGUUCUUAGCCGUUACAUAUUUUCAGUUGGAAGAUGCCACCUUCGUCGUCGCACCUCCGCCCUCCUCCAACGCACCAGGAGCCCACAUCAACGCCACCUCCGCCCUUCGCCGACGCCACUUCCGUCAUCACACCUCCACCGACGCCCACACCGAAUUCUUGAAACUUGAAACCCACUAAUCAAUUGGUAUGGUCUUACUUUUUUUUUUCUUUCCUAUUUUUUUUUUCAAAUACUUUAUUUGGGGUUAUUAUUAUUUUUUUCCAAAAUGAUUUUUUUGUGGUUUACAGUUGCAAAAGACCAAUUAUUUUAAUUUAUGGUUCUGUAUUGUUCUUCAAUUUUUGUUUGUUUUUUUUUUUUGUCUUCUUUUUUUUGAAUGUGUUUUACUGAUAUUUGAUGAAUGUGUAUGGUUUGUUAGUUAUCUUGAAAUCUUAUAGGACAAACUUGUAAUUUUUUCCCUUUACCCAUGCUAGUAGUUGGAUUGGAAUUUCUUACCGUUCACCGCUUGCUGUUGCACAUUGUCACGCCAUUCGCUGCUUGCCAUUGUACAUUACCAAUUGUUCGAGCUUUAUU
This 875-nucleotide long non-coding RNA is filed under the name Erythranthe guttata (spotted monkey flower). RNAcentral's name for it is "long non-coding RNA (EGUT_LNC002236)". The record is from RNAcentral. Lineage: Eukaryota; Viridiplantae; Streptophyta; Magnoliopsida; Lamiales; Phrymaceae.